This 160-nucleotide small RNA is filed under the name Crocodylus porosus (Australian saltwater crocodile). RNAcentral describes it as "TUC338 (ENSCPRG00005009196.1)". Lineage: Eukaryota; Metazoa; Chordata; Crocodylia; Crocodylidae. The record is from RNAcentral.
UUGACAGCACUGGAAACUGAAUCCCUCUCUUCAUCCACAGAGCAGGGACAACAGGAUUGCAAUCUGCUCCCUGCACCAUUAUUGCUCACUAUAAACCCAGGACUCUCCCAGGGGCCAGAGCACAGUUCAAUCCAUACCAGAUAGUCACGUGUUGGUCUCU